Molecule: long non-coding RNA, 345 nt
Organism: Octopus sinensis (East Asian common octopus)
Lineage: Eukaryota; Metazoa; Mollusca; Cephalopoda; Octopoda; Octopodidae
Exons: 3
Source: RefSeq, a predicted model, not a curated record
CGUAAAACACUGGUACAAAACUCGACGGAACUAGCUAGCUUAGAGUGUAUUUUGUUGAGAAUUGAUCCAUUUUUUUAACAGCAAAGAGGCAAAAUGACCAAGAGGAUAAACAGAAGAAAGAGAACCAGGAUGUGAGAGAAUUGUUGAAGAGAGAGAACUAGGGUACAAAAGGAAGAACAGGAUGAAGAAAGAAGGAGUAUCAGACUCCUCCUUCCCCUCCCCCACUACCAUUGCCGCCGCCACCACCACCACCACUCUGUUGGAAAAGAGAGAGAGAGAAAAUGUGUCAGAGCAUAUCCUUGAGUUACAGGAAGAUGAAUAUAAGAGAAAUGAUACAGAAGUGGG